Molecule: ribosomal RNA, 518 nt
Filed under: Aspergillus sp.
Lineage: Eukaryota; Fungi; Ascomycota; Eurotiomycetes; Eurotiales; Aspergillaceae
Description: eukaryotic LSU rRNA
Rfam family: 5.8S ribosomal RNA (bases 138-291)
Source: RNAcentral
AGUGCGGGCUCUGGGUCCACCUCCCAUCCGUGUCUAUCUGUACCCUGUUGCUUCGGCGUGGCCACGGCCCGCCGAAGACUAACAUUUGAACACUGUCUGAAGUUUGCAGUCUGAGUUUUUAGUUAAACAAUAAUUAAAACUUUCAACAACGGAUCUCUUGGUUCCGGCAUCGAUGAAGAACGCAGCGAAAUGCGAUAAUUAAUGUGAAUUGCAGAAUUCAGUGAAUCAUCGAGUCUUUGAACGCACAUUGCGCCCCCUGGUAUUCCGGGGGGCAUGCCUGUCCGAGCGUCAUUGCUGCCCUCAAGCACGGCUUGUGUGUUGGGCUUCCGUCCCUGGUAACGGGGACGGGCCCAAAAGGCAGUGGCGGCACCAUGUCUGGUCCUCGAGCGUAUGGGGCUUUGUCACCCGCUCCCGUAGGUCCAGCUGGCAGCUAGCCUCGCAACCAAUCUUUUUAACCAGGUUGACCUCGGAUCAGGUAGGGAUACCCGCUGAACUUAAGCAUAUCAAUAAGCGGAGGA